This 329-nucleotide ribosomal RNA is filed under the name uncultured eukaryote. RNAcentral's name for it is "partial 18S ribosomal RNA". It matches the Rfam family "Eukaryotic small subunit ribosomal RNA", at positions 1470 to 1796 of the family's 1831-position model. The record is from RNAcentral.
CCCUUAGACGUUCUGGGCCGCACGCGCGCUACACUGACCAGUGCAACAAGCAUCCGUCCUUGGCCGACAGGCCCGGGCAAUCUUUGAACGCUGGUCGUGAUGGGGAUAGAUCCUUGCAAUUUUUGAUCUUCAACGAGGAAUUCCUAGUAAACGCAAGUCAUCAGCUUGCAUUGAUUACGUCCCUGCCCUUUGUACACACCGCCCGUCGCACCUACCGAUUGAAUGGUCCGGUGAAUCUUUAGGACUGUGGCUGAGGCCUUGCCUUGUGCGGGUCUGGCCGUGGGAAUUUAGUUAAACCUUACCAUUUAGAGGAAGGUGAAGUCGUAACA